GGCCAGACUCCUACGGGAGGCAGCAGUGGGGAAUAUUGCACAAUGGGGGAAACCCUGAUGCAGCGACGCCGCGUGAGCGAUGAAGUAUUUCGGUAUGUAAAGCUCUCUCAGCAGGGAAGAAAAUGACGGUACCUGACUAAGAAGCCCCGGCUAACUACGUGCCAGCAGCCGCGGUAAUACGUAGGGGGCAAGCGUUAUCCGGAUUUACUGGGUGUAAAGGGGGCGCAGACGGCGAUGCAAGCCAGGAGUGAAAGCCCGGGGCCCAACCCCGGGACUGCUCUUGGAACUGCGUGGCUGGAGUGCAGGAGGGGCAGGCGGAAUUCCUGGUGUAGCGGUGAAAUGCGUAGAUAUCAGGAGGAACACCGGUGGCGAAGGCGGCCUGCUGGACUGCAACUGACGUUGAGGCCCGAAAGCGUGGGGAGCAAACAGGAUUAGAUACCCUCGUAU
Molecule: ribosomal RNA, 447 nt
Filed under: uncultured bacterium
Lineage: Bacteria
Description: bacterial SSU rRNA
Rfam family: Bacterial small subunit ribosomal RNA
Source: RNAcentral